AGAGUUUGAUCCUGGCUCAGGACGAACGCUGGCGGCGUGCUUAACACAUGCAAGUCGAACGAUGAAGCCUAGCUUGCUAGGUGGAUUAGUGGCGAACGGGUGAGUAAUACGUGAGUAACCUACCUUUAACUCUGGGAUAAGCCUGGGAAACUGGGUCUAAUACCGGAUACGACCAAUCUCCGCAUGGGGUGUUGGUGGAAAGCGUUAUGUAGUGGUUAUAGAUGGGCUCACGGCCUAUCAGCUUGUUGGUGAGGUAACGGCUCACCAAGGCGACGACGGGUAGCCGGCCUGAGAGGGUGACCGGCCACACUGGGACUGAGACACGGCCCAGACUCCUACGGGAGGCAGCAGUGGGGAAUAUUGCACAAUGGGCGCAAGCCUGAUGCAGCGACGCCGCGUGAGGGAUGACGGCCUUCGGGUUGUAAACCUCUGUUAGCAGGGAAGAAGAGAGAUUGACGGUACCUGCAGAGAAAGCGCCGGCUAACUACGUGCCAGCAGCCGCGGUAAUACGUAGGGCGCGAGCGUUGUCCGGAAUUAUUGGGCGUAAAGAGCUUGUAGGCGGUUUGUCGCGUCUGCUGUGAAAGGCCGGAGCUUAACUCCGUGUAUUGCAGUGGGUACGGGCAGACUAGAGUGCAGUAGGGGAGACUGGAACUCCUGGUGUAGCGGUGGAAUGCGCAGAUAUCAGGAAGAACACCGAUGGCGAAGGCAGGUCUCUGGGCUGUAACUGACGCUGAGAAGCGAAAGCAUGGGGAGCGAACAGGAUUAGAUACCCUGGUAGUCCAUGCCGUAAACGUUGGGCACUAGGUGUGGGGAACAUUCCACGUUUUCCGCGCCGUAGCUAACGCAUUAAGUGCCCCGCCUGGGGAGUACGGCCGCAAGGCUAAAACUCAAAGAAAUUGACGGGGGCCCGCACAAGCGGCGGAGCAUGCGGAUUAUUCCGAUGCAACGCGAGGA
This 954-nucleotide ribosomal RNA is filed under the name uncultured bacterium. Its description in RNAcentral is "bacterial SSU rRNA". It matches the Rfam family "Bacterial small subunit ribosomal RNA", at positions 8 to 967 of the family's 1533-position model. The record is from RNAcentral.